This is a long non-coding RNA of Rhododendron vialii, 1883 nucleotides long. RefSeq lists it as uncharacterized. The record is from RefSeq and is a predicted model, not a curated record. The transcript has 3 exons. Lineage: Eukaryota; Viridiplantae; Streptophyta; Magnoliopsida; Ericales; Ericaceae.
UUUUUGCUCGUCUGUUUUUCAAUGUAGUUCUUGCCUUUUGACGAAAAGAAAGAAGAUUUACCUUUCUUUGUAUUCGUUAGUAGAUCGUUAUUUAUACAUGUAGUUGGGAAGCUUUUGUGGAUAUGAAGUUGACAAGUGCGUAAAUGCACGUAUUCAUCUGAAGCCCUGAACACCCUCGUCAGCAAAUAAUAGAAGAAACUCUCUUACUAUCUUUUUAAUAGUAGAAUCCAUGUUCUGGAAAGAUUGCACCGUCGGUGACUCCGGCUGGGCGGUUCACGACAUUAUUUUCGCAUUGGUGUGACGUAGUUUUCUGUUCCAAAUGACCUGGUUGUCAUCCACACCAAUCAGGAUUAUGUCAUGGUUGUUCAAAACCAAUUAUUCUAGUGCAGGAUUACAAUUGAAAUUCGCUCAAGCUGACAUCCCAAGCAAAAACUAUAUACCAGCAGCAAGCAACAAAGGACCAUGGCCAUCACAUGAUUUGGGUCCCACUGGUUCAAAAUCACCAUUGGCCCUCCUCAUCUCUCCAGCAGGUUCAACUGUGGGGGCCAUGUGGGUGUUCCUUUUUUCAUGCUUGGAAUUUAAGUCAGGAUUAUGAGCAAGGACAGGGGUGGGGUUCAAGCUUUUUCUAAUUGAUGAUGAUCAUGUAAACAUGUACCUCUAUCUAGAGGUCUCUGUUUUUAACGAACUGUUUGAUCAACUAACUCACUCUUUUGUUUUUCUAUUUGUUAAUAACUCCGUAUCCGGCCAAACAAAUCGACUAACUUGGUAGACCAAUCGUACUGUUCACUAGCAUGCGGGUGGUAGCAAAUUCCAGACCAAAAGUUUCCGGAGGUCCUUAGUUGCCAAGUGACUAAUACCGCGUGGGGGUUAAAUAAUGAACUCUUCCAUUUGAAGACACUUUUGACCUAUUUACCAAGAAAAAAGGGACAGUGUUGACAAAGCAUAAUAUCAUCGAAGUUGUGUUUGAAUUAUGGAUUUGUGGAGGGAUUAACUGGGGGAAGCAAAGAGGACAUGGAAAGCAAAGGGAUUACUUUAGUGUUUUCCCUAAACUGGGCCCAUAUCUUUUUAUUUACCAAUUUUCUUUCUCUUGAUAUCGCUCCACAAAUCCUUGAUCCAAACACUGUCUAAGGUGCACCUACCUGUCCUGAGACAACUAUGAAGAAAAAGGUUGUAAUUGAGUUUCUGGAUAGACCUGAAAACCUCAGCAUGAGUGUGAGUGAGGAAACAUCCAGAGAAUAAGAUAAUAUUGGGGAAGGAGAUGAUGAUAUGUGUGGUGGUUUCUGAAGGUUGCUCCCUACUGAACCUGGCAGAUUUCAUUUUCUCCCUCAGUAUCAGCAUGGACCACUGGAAAAGAUGAUUCAAGUUUCCUGUUAUGAUUUGUUGUGAUGAAAUUUGGGUGAUUGGAAAUGAAUCAAAUGAUUGAAAUUUGAAAAUACAAAGAAAAUCAAGAUCAAUUCUCAUCGUCAUCUUGGUUUUGGUUUUAAAAAAAGUAAGAGAAUCAUCUGAAACUCAACCAAAAAUUUGACAAAGGUCAACUGUGCAGGGAGGCCAGUUAGAAUUUGCUUUCUUACGUUCAAAUUGGUGAUUAUAACAUAAAAGCAAAACUUGUGCAGAAGGUAAUUGUUUCGUUCUCACAUUUCCUUGAUGGAAUGCUACCGGGUUUAAUGGUUUUUGAACAGUUCUUUUAGAAGAUGGAAAAUAUUUAAUUUAAUAGGGUCGUAUGAUUUGGGAUUUAACUGAUUGUGUUGGCAAAACAUGAAUCUUAAAUAGAAUUUGUAGUGUGUAAUGACAUUAUACUUUCUUGUCUGUGACUAAAUCAAAUAACAUAGGGCGUUGGUGAUGAUUACUUUUGUAUCUGCAUGUAUAUUUCUUUACACGGCGUU